AAAGCUCAAAUUUAAAAUCUGGCUGUCUUCGGCAGUCCGAGUUGUAAUCUAGAGAAGUGUUAUCCGCGUUGGACCGUGUACAAGUCUCCUGGAAUGGAGCAUCAUAGAGGGUGAGAAUCCCGUCUUUGACACGGACUACCAGUGCUUUGUGAUGCGCUCUCAAAGAGUCGAGUUGUUUGGGAAUGCAGCUCAAAAUGGGUGGUAAAUUCCAUCUAAAGCUAAAUAUUGGCGAGAGACUGAUAGCGAA
RNAcentral lists this ribosomal RNA (247 nucleotides) under Conocybe sp. 3 CRJH-2017. RNAcentral describes it as "partial 28S ribosomal RNA". It matches the Rfam family "Eukaryotic large subunit ribosomal RNA", at positions 104 to 344 of the family's 3401-position model. Lineage: Eukaryota; Fungi; Basidiomycota; Agaricomycetes; Agaricales; Bolbitiaceae. The record is from RNAcentral.